Molecule: long non-coding RNA, 9479 nt
Filed under: Homo sapiens (human)
Lineage: Eukaryota; Metazoa; Chordata; Mammalia; Primates; Hominidae
Description: non-protein coding lnc-JAM3-3:20
Source: RNAcentral
ACUCUCGCACGGAAAAGCCCCACUUCUCCUCAGCGUCUGGGUGCUGGGCCGUGCUGGGCCCUCCCCCGUGGAACUGGGAUUUAUGAAGCCGUAACCGGCCAGCGCCGCGGCAACCUCCGCUUCAUCCUGGAGCCAGGCCGGCCUCCUGCGCCGCGGAGGGGAGGGCGGUGGGCGGGAGCUGGGCGGAGGCGUGGGGCCGGCGGAAGGCGGCGGGGAGCUCUUCCCGGGAAAGGCCAGCACCUGAGGCUGCACUUUCUCCCCGUUUCCCCUCAGGAAAAGACGCACCAGCAGCCUAGAAUUCGAGGCACUGCAGAGCCGGAAGGGGCCUCGGCGCUGCUCCCUCCGCCCCCUCAUUUCACAAACCGGAAACUGAGACCCAAAGCAAGGAAGGGACUUGGCCAAGGUCAGAGCUCACCUGGGACCACACGAAGAUGAUAACUUGCUAGGAGUUUUGCAAAUGGGUUUGUCUACAGUUUGGUAGAAUUAAAACAUUGUUUUUAGUUCAGAUUUGCAACAGUGGCCGGCUCCCUCUAAUCCACAGUGGUGGAGCACUGUGAUUGACAUUCAGCUGCAAAGCUCUUGCUGGGAAACGCGGUGGCCGAGCCGUCAGCACAGGCGGCAGCUGCCUCCCACACUUAAGACAGGACUUCUAAAGCCACAGUCCCUCAAACGGCAGGCAGGUUUGUGAAUGUUUCCGUGUUCUGAACAUUUUUCUGCAAAAGGGUUCACAGCUUUAAUUGAUUUACAAAGAGACGUACACCAUGGAAGAGAUUGAGAAUCAUUUCCUUAAAGCAACAAGAAUCUAGGCUGGGGAGAAAUCAGAUUUUAGGAACGAGCUGCUAGGCACCGUAGCAGCAUUCAGAGACAUGAAAGCAUUGGAUUGUUUCCUAGAUUUAAGAGCAUAUAUUUUGCAACAUGAAAGGGCUUCUAUGCUCUAGAAUGUAAGUUCCUCAAGGAUAGGGGUCUAGUCUAUCUCUUCACCUAAGGUAUCCUUAGAUCCUGGAUCAGUGCCUGCGCGUAAUCACAGGUGCGAACACACAUGUGAUUAAUUUGUUAGUCUGCACAGCACUUCCCUUUCCAUGCCCACUCCUGCCUGGUCUCCAGCAGUCGUCAGAAUUGCCAUCGUUAAGGAAACCCUGAUGCAAGAAUUGCAAGAAUGACUCUGUUUGUUUGUUUGUUUGUUUGUUUGUUUAUUAAGACGGAGUCUCGCUCUGUCGCCCAGGCUGGAAUGCAGUGGCGCGAUCUCGGCUCACUGCAAACUCCACCUACCGGGUUCACGCCAUUCUCCUGCCUCAGCCUCCCGAGUAGCUGGGACUACAGGCGCCCGCCUGCGCGCCCGGCUAAUUUUUUGUAUUUUUAGUAGAGACGGGGUUUCACCGUGUUAGCCAGGAUGGUCUCGAUCUCCUGACCUCGUGAUCUGCCCGCCUCGGCCUCCCAAAGUGCUGGGGUUACAGGCGUGAGCCACCGCGCCCGGCCAAGAAUGACUUUGUAAAUCAGUGUUGACAUUCAGGACCUUUUUCAUUUCGUGUUAAAGACUGAUCACCCUGGGAAAAUCAAGGCAGUCCAGCCAAACCCCAACUCCCAAUCAAAUGCAGUUUGUAUCGAACCCCACGACUGCCCAGCACCUUUGGGAAGCCCAUUGCUUUCUAUGCAGACGCAGAGCUCCCAGAAAGCACAGUUGAAGAGAUGAAGGCGCAGAGGCAUGAACUCCCGUAGCCAGAGAGUGUGAGCUGGACUCUACCUGGAGCAGCCUCGGUGCAGAGCCCAUGCCCCCAACCAUGUCCGUGGUCGAGGCCCAGCCCAGACAGGGCACAAAGGGGCUGAGGAAGAGGAAGUAAGAUGCCAGGGUUGCCAUGCAGGAGGGCAACCCCAAGUGAGAUGGGCAUCGUGGCCUAGGGCCCACCUUCCGGAAGAGCUCAUCAGAACUUCGGACACACUGCAUGGGCCUAGACCCAGGGCUCGUUGAGCUCCUCCCUCGGAUUGGCUUCGAAUUUUAGGUGAAUCCUCUCUAGCAGCCACAUUCACCCUUGCAAGCCUGCACUUUGUCAUCUUCUGAAAAGGUGCAGGAACAUGAUGCCCAGCUGACUCCCAGGGAGCGGGAGCCCCAGAGGCCAGCGGAGCACAGCCGCAGCAGGCAGAUCUGUUGGGAAACCACGGGAGUAUAGGAGCAGGGCUGGGGGCACCUGAGGGACUGUGGAGCCUGAAUUAUUGAAACGCUUAGAGUAAAGCAGAUUUAGAUUUCACAAAGACAGAGGUGAAGGUGGGUGAAGACGGAGGGAAGGAUUUAAAGGGAAAGAGAAAGAGGAAAGAUAAGAAUGAGGGAGAAAGAGGAAGAGAGAAAGAAAAAGAGAAAUAGAGUUAUCGAAGAUGACUGCAAGUCUGGCCUCUCUCAACCCAAGGAGCCAAGGAGGGGAAGGCCGGCCUGAGCAGCAACGUAGACAAGAGCUCAGGAGGGCAGGGACAGAGCCCUGGCUUCAGCAAGAGCGUGGGGAACAGAGGGCAAGGGGGUCCAUGCAGCCCAGGAUGGCAGGGUGCUCAUACACACAGCCUUGGUCCUGUCCCCUCUCCCAUUGCCGCUUUUGAGCUCACCUUGUUUAAGGCCAAAGCACACACCAUCCUCCCACAGAGCCACUAAUGCAAUUAACAAAACACAUUCAUAAAUCUUGCAUGGCGUCCGGAGCUGUCUCCUCUCCCUAAGCACAAAGGCCAGCUCCAGAGAUGCUGUGCAGAGAGCUGUCUGACCUCUCCAGCGUCAGGGCCCCCUGAAAAGUGCAGCAUAACCCUUAGUAGGACAGAAAGACCAUUGUCUUCUGCCAACCAUUACAAAGUGGAGUGGGGCUGGGGUUAGGAAACACAGACAAAUCAGAAGAGGCUGAGAAGGCGGAGAUGAAAGUGCAUAGGUGUUUGCAGGGAGCUGGGGAAUAGUUCGUGCCUUCCAAGCUCAACAAGAGAGCAUUCAGCAGAGACCAGAGAAUCACCACUUUUGGAGGGUGAUUUUACCUUGUGAGAACAGAGCACAGGGUGUGUGGGACCCAGGGCAUCUUCGGCAAUGCGGGCGUGACUUGGCGGGAUGUCGGUGUUUGUGUUUGCAUGUGUGUGUGCGUGCGUGCAUGCUCAGUCUGGAAAACUGGUGACUCACUAAAACACCGAGCUUUCUGAUCUGAAGAGCUUAUAUUCGGCUAUUUUUAGCUCGUCUUGUCUCUUGGCCCUUUUUUUCCCCUUGUCUGUUUUCAAAUGUAGAGGAGUCUGGAGACCAUGAAUGCCGUGUGUGUGUGUCUGCUAAUUUAGAGCUUGGGCCCAGAGGUGGGUACCCCUGAAGGUGCAGAGAUGAAGGCACGUGGGGUGUAUGUGUGUACAGCAGGGACACACUGACACAGACAGGGUGCACAUGCUCUUAUUCUGGCAUGUACACACGCGUACCAUGCAUACGUGCAAGCAGGAGUGAGGCCAGAAACGUCCCUGGAAACUCCGGCCUACACUCUCUUCACGUGGGUUGGUGUACAGCUACCCACUAUGCAUACUUCACAAGUAUAACUGCCUCCCCACCCCAGCCCCUGCCUCACACGACCCAGGUGGGCACACUCUCAUGAGGCACAUGGCCACAGGCACAGUCUGGGCCUAUCUUGGGGAAUGGCCCCAGCCCCUGUGCCUUGUUUCUUCUCUGUUCAGCCACUCUUCCAAAAAUUAUGACUUCUUCUCAAGAAGGCCUUUCUCUGCUGGUUGGCAAUAGGAAACACGAAGUGCCAGCUUCUGCACUUGGCUUCUCCUGGGACUCAUUCAGCUGAUCCCACCUGCCCACCACCAUUGGCCGAGACCGCCUCCCCAGUCCAGUGGUCAUCCAGCUACAGGGGGUCUGGCAACUGCUUAGAGAGGCCAGGCAGGGGUCAAUGCUGUGUGAGCUCCGUUCCUCUAGCCGGGAGAGAGGGAGAAAGGAGAGCGAGCUCGGAUUGCCAUCUGCCUAGGUGCAGUGUGGGGCAGGCGGGGAGCGGAGCUCGGACUGCCGUCUGCCUAGGUGCAACGUGGGGCAGGCAGGGAGCGGACAGCACUCUUCAAGGCUCUAGAACGCUGGUGGGUUCCUGGACCUUGACUCUGUGUGACAGGACUGUGUAUGCAACCCAGUGUCAAGAGCAGAAAUGCGCAAAUGCUGCCUAUGACCAGUGCCUCAGUGAUGCGGCACGCCUGGGAAAGGGCACCCACAGCCUCUCUUUCCACACAGCACACAUGCUGUGCACUCACGCACAGCAGCACGUGCCUGCAUGCACACACUCUUAGAAGCCUGCGUGAGAGAGAACACGAGCCUUCGUUACUCCAGACACCAAAGCAAGCUCUGAGCUGCAUCAUCCCUCAAGUCUGCAGUUUAGGCAUGGCUCAGAGGCCCCAGCCAAGGCGGCCAAAACCCAGCCAUGUGUUGCUCCUUAAGCCAUGUCUUCUGCUGAGAGUCUGCGUCAGCCCAGAGGAGGGGCCCUCGGUCUCCCUUGCCUGCCGGGAGGCCCUGUGGUUCCUGGUGUCCAGUGGGCUCAGCGUCACGUCCUGGAAGGAGCCACUACCCGCCUACUGCCCCACUGCAUUCCACUCCACACACAUUUGGGGAUCCAGCGCUCUGUGCAAGGCACUCCAUGUCAUCAUGAUGAAGGAGGACCAGCCGGAGUCCCCACCCCCAGACCCCUGCCCCAAGAUAGGCUGGCACAGAAUAAGAUGCCUGCACAAUUAGCCAUUGCAGGACUCGUCACCCAGGGUGUGUGUGGUCAUGAGCCACGCAGAAGGGAUAAUUCUCUCUUCCUCCUGGGGCCUGGGGGCCUUCACAGAGAACAGGACAGGGGCUUUUGCCUGGGCCCUGAAUAAUGAACAGAUCUCCCCAGGCCAAAGAGGAACUUCUCAGGCAGGGAACUGGCCUGCAUGAAGGUGUGGGAUUGGGAAGCGUGGACAGGGGCUCGUGGGGAGAAAUCAGAUCUUGCCAGCAGACAGACUGGAGCUCAAGCCUGCCUGACUUGCCUCCGGUUCUGUGGCUCUUGCCUGAAGGAGAAGUGAUUUUGAAUUAUCUACCUCUCUUCUUACCCCACAUGGAAGGAAAAAGUCUUUUUAUCUUGAAAGAUCUGGACUCCUUCUGCCUUCUGAGCAUCUGUAAGAUGGAGAUACUAAUAGGGCCUUCCCUAUAGAGAUAUUUUGAAGAUUAAAUGAGAGACCUCAUGGAAAGCUGUUAGCACAGAGCUGACUCCCUCUGAAUGAUGAUCAGUGAGGCCCUGCAAGACAGCCUCCCGAGGCCGAGCCACCGAGCUACAGGACGAAGAUGAUCUUUCUGGGCUCCUGAUGUCCAGACCCUGUCUUGUCUUUCAGCAUGUUCAGAAUACCUGUGGCUGCUGUGGGCAGAGAGGAGGUACCGGGGAAGUCCUGGCAGACUUAUCUAUCGGCAGAGAGACUGAGUCUCCAUGCCACCCCAAUUCCCCCUGCCCUUUUGACUGAGCUCUGAACACAAGUUAGAGGAGCUGGGGGAAAGCUCCAAGCAGUCAAUACAUCAACCAGUGAGCACGUGACAUGUCCUGUCUCGUGCUCAGCGCUGGGGAGGACAUCCCCACAAAUAUCACAGCUCAAAUUCACUGGUUGGGAAGGCAAGACUCACAGGCAGAGAAGAGUCAAAAAACUAUUAAAGAGGCCCCUGGCAUAGUCUGAGGAGCCCUGGAUAGAGGUAAGACCAGAGUUCUAUCCCCAGGCCUCAGGCCUGAAGCAGGUCCCUGUACUUCCAAAAGCUCCAGCUACACCAAGUUAUAGACAACUUCUCAUGGCCUGGAUUGUGGAUGGCAGUGGCGCAUCUGAUUGAUGGGUACUGAUGCCUGGAGCACUGUGCUGAGGAGGAAUCCGAGGCAGCAGCAAGUUUAGUAGGACUGUGAUGGCCAACCGGCGAGGCGAGCGGUAGGUGCCACCGGGAUGUCAUGGGGAUGUACCUCCUGCUUAUUAACCCUUCUGGUUAAGAGCAACUGACUGGAGCCAUUUCUAAGGACUCCUCCAGCUCCCAAAUGGGAUAAUUCUAUGAUGGAAACGUUACAUUUCAAGGCACUGGCUGGAGCAGAAUAAGGCAAAGCAGGAAGAGAUCUGCAUGGGUUGGGCUGAUCAGGGAAGGCUUUGGGAAGGAGGCGGCACUUUAGUGCGGCCUCAAGGUGGGGGAGUGUGAGUAGCUGUACCGGAGGUGGGAGGACGUUUAUGUGCAUAAAACUGGGGCUGAGCAUGGGCUGUUCUUGGUACAGGAGGGAGGCGGCUAGCAUCGCUGGAAUGCGUUGUCUGUGUUUGGGGCAAGUAUGAUUACAUAUGGGAGAGCACACUGCCUGAGAGCUUCCCACAUUGAAGCCACAAGCAAAGAUGACGUUCCAUGCAUGCUGGCUUCCAGUCCUCACAGCUCGUCUUCAAGGCAAAUGCUCUUCCCAGCCUUCCCUAGCAUUCUGUGACUUGCUCAGGGCUACCGCUGGCAGGUGCGAAUCCUGCAUUCAGCCUGGGCAGUGCGGUUCUGAUGGCUUCGGGCAUAACUUCUCUGCUCUGGUGCCUUCUCUACUCUUAGAAGCUGACCAGUAAGGAAACCCAGCAAUGCAGUUGAGACACCAUGGCCGGAUCUGUGGAUUCUAGGGACCAGGAAGAGGCAGGAACAGCUGUAGACUGAGGAAGGAGGGCCUUGCUUGAGCCAUCAGUCACACAAACAGAUCCAAGCAAAGAACAGGGCAAGGUGGACACAGAUCAAAGAUGGGCACUAAAUGCCACUGGGUUAGGGCUUGCUUUAGACCCCCCCAAGUCCUACAUAAUCUACUGGAAACAACAAAAAGUGUCCCAACCCUCUGGGAAUAGGCAAGAAGGUGUGGGAGGUCAUGAAAUUCCAGGGACGUGGGGCUCAGCCUGUGAGGAUGGGAAUAGAGCCUGCCAUGGUCUUAACACCAGCCCAGAGGCAGAAGGCAACUGUCUAAAUAAAGAUCUCAUUUCAGACAAAGCUUAACCCUGCCUUUGCCCAGGCCCGCAGCCUCCAGCUGUCUCCACGCUGUCCCUGCCUGGCACCUGGUGGUGCGCUGGGGAACUUUCUCCCUCCUUCACAGCCCUCUCUCCUUCCUUUCUCCUUACUGGGUUCACAGACAGCUCCAGCCUCCACUCAGCUUGGCCUCUCAGUUCGACGGCACGCAGAAGAUGCUGCUGUGCGCCGCCCUGCCCCAGGCUCCUGAGCAGGGGAAGGUGCUGUCGUGCGCCGCCCUGCCCCAGGCUCCUGAGCAGGGGAAGGUGCUGUCGUGCGCCGCCCUGCCCCAGGCUCCUGAGCAGGGGAAGGUGCUGUGUCUCGUCUUGCUUUCUUCACCUCUCCCACCACCCUGGUCCCCACCCAUCCGGGGAUGGAUCCGAAACCAGCCCGGGUAUGAAACUCUCCGGCCUCUCUCCCAAACAUCCUCGUGCCCCUGCUCCCCUUGCUCUGGUCCCACUCCAUCUCAAGCCCCCUCUGCAGUCCUCCCUUCUGGUUUCUCCCUCUGGCCUCCGGGAGGCCUCUGGUGCCCGCACAACUUCCUGGCAUUGAGGAAGGACCAGAGCUGUAACGUGGGGCUGGAAGGUCCCAGAACCACCAGCUAGUCCUGCCCUGCCAGCCUCUCCUUGUUAAGCUCUCCCUCCUGCUGUUCAGUCUAUGCUCGACGACUAGAGGCCUGAUUUUGAAACUCUCUUUUGGGGCCACUGGGUCAGGCCAGCCCUCCUCACUGUCAGGAAAUGUAUCCUCAUUUCUUACCUUAAUUUCUCAACCGCAGCCGUUCUUUCUUGCUCUGAGAAGUCACCCGGCGUGAUGCUGCGGCCAUGCUACUCCUCAGCGCUCUGCUUCCCAACCAAAACAAUGCUCCUUCUCAUCUUUUCCAAAGCUUCCGGCCCCAGCAGUUCUCGGACCUGGGGUAGUUUCCUCCCCGCAAGUAACAAAGGAGGACAAGCCCCAGCUUCUCUAAGAUGCCUUCAGCUGCCUGGAAGAGGCCUGUGGAAGGCCCUGCAACUCUCCGCAGACCUCUGGGCAUUGCUGCUGCUUCUCAGUGCCCCUCGUCCCCUCAGCCAGGUGAGUCACCAUCAUCCUCGCUCCUCCCAGACCCGAAACCUCUCCUCUCCCAUCCUUCCUUCUCUUUGUAUCUCUUUCCGUUUAAACACGCGAACGAACGCGUGUCCACACACGCAUAUCAUUUCGGGCCCUAUCUGGAGCUGUCAUUGACAGAACUCAAAUUGUGAUAGGCAAAUUGGCUUCAAUGUCAGAGACAGGAAACCCAGUAUGCAUCUCCCGGUGCCUGGAGAGCGAGGAGAUAAGAGAGCAGAGAUGGGCUGCCUCGGCCAGCAGCACCGGAGCAGGGACGGUAGCCAGGGAAGCAGGUCUUCUGCGGCUCCGGCUCAGGCACCAGAGUCCUGAGUGCUGGGGACCCUGGCUUGAUUCUUACCCCCAGCGUGAUGUGGGAUAACAAAAGGAGGAUGGAGCACCUCCGAGAUGCACUGAGCCCUUCCCGAGGGCUUCUCUAAGACAACCCAAGUUCUUUCCUAGCGGGAAUCAGACAUCUACAGCAGGGACCCUUAGCCCCCAGAUGCCACAUCCUACAUGUAGGGCCGGUCACUGCCCUGGCAGUUAGGAGGGGACGGGUGAGAGCUGCUGCCGAAAAGAGGAGCAGCCGUUCCAAUGCCAUCAUACCUCUGCUUGUCCCCGUUACAUAAAGCUCCAGCUGACUUGGCGUAAUGACUAAGAAAACUUUCCAAACUUUCCGAAGACAGUUGGUGAUCCUCUACCCUCCCGGUGACUGGUGAGAACUACCCCCACAGAGAGCCAGCAGAGAGGAAGGCUCCCAGCUCCGGGCCCUGACUCAUCACACACACAAACACUCCCCAGCACUCUUUCCCAAAACAGUUCCCCUCCCACCCAUCCACCCUCCUACCGGGGCUGGGUGACAAAAAUGAACGCCCCAGAGAUCUUGCCAAGUUCUGGGCCACGCUCAGCCCAGGGAACACGCAAUUCCCCGUAGAAUGGGAGGAGCAGGCCCCGCCCCCUCUGGAAGCAAACAAUGUCCAUUGGAAGGAAACGACCACCUGACUCUACAAUGAUCACUGUACUGUUUUCCAAAUACCUUGGACCACUCUCCCCCAAGAAAGAGUUCAAAGCUCUAUAAUCAUAAAAUAUUAGAGCUUAAGGCAAUCUUAAAGGUCAUCUGUAGCGCCUCUCCCCUUCCCUGCUUCCAUGCAUCUACACGUGGAUUCAUUUCUUUAUCUAUCUGUUCAUCAGAUAGCCACUCAGUUCCUACAGUUUGCCCAUGUGCAACGCACGCACUGGAGGCCUCACAGACGCACUGUCUCCUCAAGGCGCUUGUCAUCUAGUGGGUGAGAAAGCAAGUGACAAGGCGUUGGAAUAAGUAGGACAGGCACUGUGGUAGGAAGAGUGCAUGUUCUAGAAGCACCGAGAGGGCACGUCACCCCCACCUUGGGGUAGUGGGGGGAAUUCAUGGAGACUUACU